Cyprinus carpio carpio is the source of this 2540-nucleotide long non-coding RNA. The record is from Ensembl. NCBI's taxonomy places the organism in Eukaryota, Metazoa, Chordata, Actinopteri, Cypriniformes, Cyprinidae.
CCAAACAGUUUGCAAAACAAAAUGCCCUUAAAAUCAAUAGAAAUGAAAACAAUAUGCAGAAUUAUGUGACAUGAAAGACUAAACUAUAGUUUUAACAUUGUCCUUUUAGUUGCAGUGUUUGCUUUCUAAAUGUCUCUCUGAAUGAUUCAUUUGAAAUAUUUCCCCAAGUUAACCCUUUUUAAUGUCGCCUGGGGUUGCUAGGGUGUUCUAAGUGGUUGCUAGGCUGUUACUCAUGUGUUGUGAGCAUUUUUGACUUGUUGACUUGCAGACUUGUUUAACUUCGUUGUUUUUGAUUGCUUCCAUUGUCCUCAAGUCGCUUUGGAUAAAAGUAUCUGCUAAAUGACUAAAUGUAAUGUAAAUGUUGACACAAGUAUUCAUUUUUCAAGAUGUUGUGGGUGGUUGCUAUGGAGUUGCUAGGGCUUUCUGAGUGGUUGCUAAGUGGUUGCUAGGGUUUGUAUUUGUUAGGGUGUGCAUUGCUGCCUUGUUGGUAUGCAUUUUUAUAUCUGUUCUGACUGGUUGUUAUUGGGUUGUUAAGGCUUUCUGAGUGGUUGCUAGGGUGUUGCUAGUGUUUUCCGAGUGGUUGCUAGGGUAUUGCUAAGUGGUUGCUCAUAUGUUGUAAGCAUUUUUAGCUUGUUGAUACAAGUAUGUAUUUUUCAGUCUGUUCUGUCUGGUUGCUAUUGGGUUGUUGUAGUUUUUAAAGUGGUUGCUAGGGUGUUGCUGGGUUGCUCUUAAUUGUUGCUAAGGUGUUGCCGGGUGCUUAUAUUUUUAAGAAUAUUACUCUAAUCUGCAUCUAGAAGGCAUGAAGAUAUUAAGAUAUAUUAUAAACACGAACAUUAUGAUUUUCUGCAAAGCUGCUGUGAAACAGUGUGAAAAGAGCUAUAUACAGUACAUAAAUAAAUGAUUCCAUGACCUUAGACAUCAACAUCAAAAAACGUGUUUUCUCCUCCCAUUUGAAAGCAGAUUCAUUUAUGCACAAUUAGACGCUUGCAUCCGUUUUAUCAUCAACAUUUAAUGUUGUUUUUCCUCCUCUGGUUCCUGAUUAUAUGACUGAUCUCUUGCAGUAAAGCAAAGUCCUCUGGGCCUCUGGAUUAAAUUCUAGUAUUUCCAGCCAGACCGCCACACACCCUUAUUUACCCCUCGUCCCCUUCACGCGGGGCUGCAGCGGUUCACUGAGCUCCAGGGCAGAACCUGAGCGCCGGAGCGGACAAUAGACACGCCAAACUACUAACCGCACACAAAAGAGUCGGGCUGUUCGCAGGGGGCGGAUGGGGGCAGGGUCAUGGGAAUCACCGCGAGCAGCUGGAUUGCUUUACAUGUGCAGUCAGAGAAUAAUUAGCAUCUCGCUCUCUAAGAAAAUGUCCAGUGAAUUGGCUUUGAGAUUCCGAAUUAGCCACGCAUUUCUCGUCCUGCAGCGCGGAUGUUUGUUUGAUCAGAAUGCAGAUGAGCGUCCGGCGAAGGAUGCGUUCUUAAAGAAAUGAGGAAGUUAAAAAAGAGAUUUAAGGGUUAAAACUGAAUGUGUGGCACCUGCUUUAUAUCUUACAUCCACAUCAUCCUCUGAAUCGAGGAGAAGCUGUAGUGUUUUCUAUGCACAGAUAUCCACGGACAGACCGGAAACUCCUUGGAAAGACGUUUGAGGUCAUUCGUUCCUGGUUCACAUACAUUUGGCCUACGACUUUCCCAGUCACCCGGAAGGAUUUAAAGAUCAUUUUAUUGAGAUUACACUCAAAAAGAGCACUGAAACAAUGAAGCGGAGCAAAACUAGGAAAGUUAUAUUAACUCAAGUUUAAGAUUUUAGUAAAGUCGCCUGGGUCAUGUAUUCUUUUACUUUGUGUAGUUUUGAUUUUAUUUUAUGAAGAUGAGGGCAUCCAUAAUUUAACUAGAUUCUACAGAUGAUGAACUUAUGCCAAAAUACUGUAGAGUUUGAUUGGAAACACAUUCUGGACUGAUAGAAGUUAUUUUUUAUUUCCAUUCUUUUUUUUCUUCAGGCCUACAGAAGCAAUUUCUUUUUUAUUAUUAUUAGAAGCAAAUAUUAUUUUUUUAAUGAAAAUCCUAAUGAUUUAUCCCUUGAAUAUGUUGCCAACUUUAUAAUUUUGUGCACAAAUUCUUCAGAAGAAUAGAAAAAAAAUGUAAAUAUUCCAAUAUUUCUUCUUGAAUUUAACUCUGAAUUGUCACCUGCAGCAUUUUUAAAAAUAUAAUUUUAUAGAAAUAACACUGAAAAAGAGUUCAUUUUGAGCAAAAUAUGGAAUUUAUAUUAACUACAGAACUAAAGUCACCUGGGUUGUAUUACAUUAUUUUAUUAUUUAUUUAUUUUACUGUGUAGUUUUGAUGUUUAAUGAAGAUGUUGACAGAUGUCUAAUUUAACUAGAUUCUACAGGUAGAUUUAAUUGGAAAUAUAUUUUGAACUGAUCUAGUUUGUUUUAUUCUUAGCCCUACAGAAAUAAAACACUCCUUUGUGUUUGUUUGUUUCAAAUUUUUUCAUUCAUGAACAAAAUUAUUUAAAUCUUCCAUUAUUUCUUCUCUCUGAUAACCCUCAUAAAAAU